CCACUUUAAAUGCUGGAGAAAACUCCAGCAGAUUGUCCUGUAAUCACUAUUGACAGCUUUAGGCAUAUGUAUGUGUUUGGAGACUUCGAAGAUGUAUUAAUUCCUGGAAAACUCAAGCAAUUUGUAUUUGACUUACAUUCUGGACAACUGCACAGAGAAUUCCAUCAUGGACCUGUCCCAACCGAUAUCGCCCCAGGAGAGCAAGACCAAGAUGUAGCAAGCUGUCCACCUGAGAGCUCCUUCCAGAAAUUAACACCCCGUGAAUAUAGGCAUACUAUAUUCAGGGAUCAAGAUGAGUUU
RNAcentral lists this long non-coding RNA (300 nucleotides) under Homo sapiens (human). Its description in RNAcentral is "non-protein coding lnc-FUT10-2:1". Lineage: Eukaryota; Metazoa; Chordata; Mammalia; Primates; Hominidae. The record is from RNAcentral.